This 254-nucleotide ribosomal RNA is filed under the name uncultured bacterium. RNAcentral describes it as "partial 16S ribosomal RNA". It matches the Rfam family "Bacterial small subunit ribosomal RNA", at positions 524 to 776 of the family's 1533-position model. The record is from RNAcentral.
GACAGAAGGGACAAGCGUUAUUCAUAUUUACUGGGCGUCAAGGGUAUGUAGGUAGUCAUAGGUGUUUUAUGCUAAAGUCUAUGGAUUACGCCCAUAAGUCCGCAUAUUUUACACGUUGACUUGAGUUUGGUUAAGGUUCGGAGUACUCUCUGUGUAGUACUGAAAUGCGAAAAUAUAGAGAUGACUGCCAAUGAUGAAGAUACCGUUCUUAAUUUGACUGACACUGAGGUACGGAAGUAUGGGUAUCGAACGGG